RNAcentral lists this ribosomal RNA (1560 nucleotides) under Proteocephalus sagittus. Its description in RNAcentral is "eukaryotic LSU rRNA". It matches the Rfam family "Eukaryotic large subunit ribosomal RNA", at positions 23 to 982 of the family's 3401-position model. The record is from RNAcentral. Lineage: Eukaryota; Metazoa; Platyhelminthes; Cestoda; Proteocephalidea; Proteocephalidae.
ACCCGCUGAAUUUAAGCAUAUCACUAAGCGGAGGAAAAGAAACUAACCAGGAUUCCCCUAGUAACGGCGAGUGAAGAGGGAAAAGCCCAGCACCGAAGCCUGCGGCAGUUUUGCUGUUAGGCAAUGUGGUGUUUGGGUCGACUCGUGGGACUGCCACUCCACUCCAAGUCCAGCAUUGAGUAUGGUUUACUGGAUUUGGCCCAGAGAGGGUGAAAGGCCCGUAGGGGUGGAGUUACAGAAAUGUAAGGCAGUUCACCAGGUCGACCUUAGAGUCGGGUUGUUUGGGAAUGCAGCCCAAAGCGGGUGGUAAACUCCAUCCAAGGCUAAAUACAAGCACGAGUCCGAUAGCGAACAAGUACCGUGAGGGAAAGUUGAAAAGUACUCUGAAGAGAGAGUAAACAGUACGUGAAACCGCAUGCAGGUAAACGGGUGGCGUCAAGCUGCAGACCCAGAGGAUUCAGUCGACUAGGAUGUAGUGUAUGUGCCUGGCACAUCCAUCAGUCAGAGUGUGAUUGAGUAGUCCGCGGGAAACCGUGGGCCUGGCCGCAAGGUCAGGAUGUGUGUACCGGAUGGGUGCCGGAGCAUGCUACUCGUCUGGGGACUGUCUAGUCGGUGCACUUUCUCUGUGGUCAACACCACGACCGGUGGUACUGCCAGUCUGCUGUGCUCAAGUUGUACUCGGUUGGUCCUUGUGGCUAGCUGGGUGCGAUGACAGGUGAACUGAGUGAACGGCGCGGGGAUGCCUCGGUAUCUUUGCGUGUUAUCGGCCACUGGUCACCAACAGGCCUGCCCGGUGUUUGUUGUAACCGGCAUGGGGUGGUCUGGUGGAGCAUGGUGGUAAGAAUAACUGUGCAGGGCACCGGAGUUGUCGGCCUCAAAUCUAGCGUCCUGCACACACGUUACAAGUGGUGCUUAGUGGCGGCGCCGUGGCUAUCUGCCUGGUGUUGGGUGUGAUUGGCGUGUUGCCCGCGAAAAGUGGGCCCGUCAGUGGCUCGACCUGGGAUGGGUGGUUCGGCGGCGUUGUCGGUGUAGGACGUGGUGGGCCCAAUAGUCUGUGGUGUAGUGGUAGACGAGCUACCCGACCCGUCUUGAAACACGGACCAAGGAGUUUAACAUGUAUGCGAGUCAAUGGGUCCUACGAAACCCAAAGGCGAAGUGAAAGUGAAGCUCUGUUGGGUGGCUGCUCUCAGGUGGCUUGCCCUCAGGGUGUGGUGAGAUCCCGCUGUUACUCGCAUCAGUCUAAUGUCAGCAUCAGGCUAAGAGCAGCGGGCGCAUCACCGGCCCGUCCCAUGAUGUGGUCGCAGGAUGUCGUCUGUGGUUGUCGCUGCCUCGGUAGUGGCGGCUGCGGUGCCUGUGCGUCAUCGGGGCGGUGCAUGAGCAUACACGUUGAGACCCGAAAGAUGGUGAACUAUGCUUGCGUAGGUUGAAGCCAGAGGAAACUCUGGUGGAGGACCGCAGCGAUUCUGACGUGCAAAUCGAUCGUCAAACGUGAGCAUAGGGGCGAAAGACUAAUCGAACCAUCUAGUAGCUGGUUCCCUCCGAAGUUUCCCUCAGGAUAGC